This 466-nucleotide ribosomal RNA is filed under the name uncultured bacterium. Its description in RNAcentral is "bacterial SSU rRNA". It matches the Rfam family "Bacterial small subunit ribosomal RNA", at positions 329 to 792 of the family's 1533-position model. The record is from RNAcentral.
GCCCAGACUCCUACGGGAGGCAGCAGUGAGGAAUAUUGGUCAAUGGUCGGGAGACUGAACCAGCCAGGCCGCGUGAGGGAGGAAGGUACAGAGUAUCGUAAACCUCUUUUGUCAGGGAGCAACGCCGGCUACGUGUAGCCGGACUGAGAGUACCUGAAGAAAAAGCAUCGGCUAACUCCGUGCCAGCAGCCGCGGUAAUACGGAGGAUGCGAGCGUUAUCCGGAUUUAUUGGGUUUAAAGGGUGCGCAGGCGGAAAAUUAAGUCAGCGGUAAAAUUGAGGGGCCCAACCUCUGCGAGCCGUUGAAACUGGUUUUCUUGAGUGAGCGAGAAGUAUGCGGAAUGCGUGGUGUAGCGGUGAAAUGCAUAGAUAUCACGCAGAACUCCGAUUGCGAAGGCAGCAUACCGGCGCUCAACUGACGCUCAUGCACGAAAGUGUGGGUAUCGAACAGGAUUAGAUACCCCUGUA